This is a non-coding RNA of Camellia sinensis, 234 nucleotides long. NCBI's taxonomy places the organism in Eukaryota, Viridiplantae, Streptophyta, Magnoliopsida, Ericales, Theaceae. The record is from RefSeq and is a predicted model, not a curated record.
GGCUCAUCGGUAUGUGUUAUUUAACAUCGCUGCGGUUGUCCCAUAUCGAGAGGAACAUCGUGAAUUUAUUAAGCGGUCACAUCGUCGUCUCAGAGAUUAUGAUGUGGAUCGUCGUCACAAUGAUGAGUUUCCCAAAUGGUUCAAUUCUCAUGUUGCAGAGCUGUUAGCUACUGAAAAUGUAGCGUUGUCAGAUGAGAUCAAAAUUUUGGCUUUGGGACCCAGCCAAAAGGCCAC